CCUGUAUCUGCUGCUCUGUGUACAUUCAACCAGCGUCGCUGAAAAAGCUUAGUAGGAGUCGGCUGUUCAUUUUUCAGCUAUAACAUUAUGACCACCUGCUGGCCAAAAAAGCCCUGACCCGUGGAGAUCUGGACUCUACUCUGUGUUCUAACACGUUUCUAUCAGAACCAGCAUCAACUGUUUCAGAAGUUUGACCUACAGUAGCUCGUCUGUUGGAUCAGACCACACGGGCCAGCCUUCGCUCCCCAUAUGCAUCAAUGAGCCUUGGCCGUCCAUGACCCUGUUGCCAGUUCACCGCUUUUCACUGACAGAUCCUCAGCGAGUUCUUUGACAUGAGGUGGCAUGGAGAUCUUCCAGUGACCAGUAUGAGCGAAAAUAGGAAACUGGAUCAUCCUGCUGGUACCUUGGCUCUGCCGCAGCGUACCAGCGUCCCCAUGAAGGCAAUGUUGCUGAGGGAGGAGAUGUCGCCAUUGGAUGCUUGCUGGUGGAGGGUGGACUUGGAGGAGGGGGUCGUCUCGCCCGUCAGACUGGACUCAUCCACACACAAGUCGGUCGACUGAGAGGGUGGAGACAAGACACAGAGGAUUCAAUAAACACUGGCAAAUGGACUUGACCAAGUCUGUAAAUUAAGAAAUGUCUUUUCGCUUUACUGUUUCACCACAGGUGGUAAAAGAAUUCCUUACGUGUUGAGUUAAAAGUUUACCUGUCGCCACAUUUCAGUUUCAGAGUACCAGCUGAACUUGUGGCUUAAUUACAGACUUUUCCAAGAACUUGCUAAUGACUCCAGCUACAUAUCAGUUCUUUCUAGGAAAUGUGACCUGUAAAAUAAACCUCAAGUCUGUGGCUGAGCUGAGCACUUAUCCAGGUGGCAUCAUGUGUGCCACUAUGUGAGUGUAAACAGCGUGUUCCUGGAAAAAUAUAUAUUCACGCUCA
Long non-coding RNA from Micropterus dolomieu (smallmouth bass), 933 nucleotides. RefSeq lists it as uncharacterized. NCBI's taxonomy places the organism in Eukaryota, Metazoa, Chordata, Actinopteri, Centrarchiformes, Centrarchidae. The record is from RefSeq and is a predicted model, not a curated record. The transcript has 4 exons.